RNAcentral lists this ribosomal RNA (440 nucleotides) under uncultured bacterium. Its description in RNAcentral is "partial 16S ribosomal RNA". It matches the Rfam family "Bacterial small subunit ribosomal RNA", at positions 338 to 795 of the family's 1533-position model. The record is from RNAcentral.
CCUACGGGGGGCAGCAGUGGGGAAUAUUGCACAAUGGGGGAAACCCUGAUGCAGCGACGCCGCGUGAGUGAAGAAGUACUUCGUUAUGUAAAGCUCUAUCAGCAGGGAAGAAAAUGACGGUACCUGAGUAAUAAGCCCCGGCUAACUACGUGCCAGCAGCCGCGGUCAUACGUAGGGGGCAAGCGUUAUCCGGAUUUACUGGGUGUAACGGGAGCGUAGACGGUGCGCCACGUCUGGCUUGAAAUGCCGCAGCUUAACUGCGGAACUGCUUUGGAAACUGGCGAACUAGAGUGCGGGAGGGGUAAGCGGAAUUCCUAGUGUAGCGGUGAAAUGCGUAGAUAUUAGGAGGAACACCGGUGGCGAAGGCGGCUUACUGGACCGUAACUGACGUUGAGGCUCGAACGCGUGGGGAGCAAACAGGAUUAGAUACCCGUGUAGUC